This 428-nucleotide ribosomal RNA is filed under the name Diachea leucopodia. Its description in RNAcentral is "SSU rRNA". It matches the Rfam family "Eukaryotic small subunit ribosomal RNA", at positions 1230 to 1644 of the family's 1831-position model. Lineage: Eukaryota; Evosea; Eumycetozoa; Stemonitida; Stemonitidae. The record is from RNAcentral.
ACACGUAUGAAAGACAAGCUGAAAGACUUUUCUCAAUGAUGUAAGUGGUGGUGCAUGGUCGUUCGUAGUUCGUGGAUUGAUUUGUCUGGUCUAUUCCGAUAACGAGCGAGACCCCUACGUUCCUAAUAGGGGCAGUAGCCCGGCUUGCCGCUUCGGUGGCUUGCUAGCUGCUGCCUCACAUAGGCUUCUUAGACGUAUCAGAGCCGACAAGGUUCUUGAAAUGGGUUAAUAACAGGUCAGUCAUGCCCUUAGAUGUUCUGGGCCGCACGCGCGUUACAAUGGCAUGUAAAGCGAGUGCUCGAUAGGGCGUAUCCGCGGCCUACGGGUCGCGGUAAUCCCUAGUCCCUGCCUUGACUGGGACAGACUAUUGCAAUUAUUGGUCUCAAACGAGGAAUUUUUAGUAGUCGCAGGUCAUUAGCCUGCGACGA